AAAAUAAUCCUACCCUUUGUGAAUUUUGUUUGUUUGAAUAAUUUUUUUUUUAAAAAAUUAUUGGAGUCUUUCCCUUUUAGGUUUGCUUUUGAGUUUGUAAAAGAAUUCGAAAACAUCUAAAGGGGAUGGUCAAUAAUUUUUUUGAAAAAAGACAUUUUUUAAAAUUAAACUUUUUGUAUUCAUUUGUCUAAAAAUUAUUUUUAUAAUAUAAAAACAACUUUUGACAAUGGAUCUCUUGGUUCUCGCAACGAUGAAGAACGCAGCAAAAUGCGAUAAGUAGUGUGAAUUGCAGAAUACGUGAAUCAUCGAAUCUUUGAACGCAUAUUGCACUUUUUUAGUUUACUAAAAAAGUAUGUCUGUUUGAGUAUCAGUAAAAUAUUCUCAUAAAAAUCAUUGUGUAUUUUUAUGGUUAUGAGUGUUUUACAACGAUACAAGUUGUUUCACUUUAAAUUUUUUUUUUUUAAUAUUGAAAUUUUUCUAAUUUUAAUAAUUAAAAUUGGAUAAAAUUUUCCCGUCAAAAGGAAUAACCUAAACAAUUUUAAACGAUUAAUUUUAGCAAAAUUUUCGAAAAAAAGGAAAAUUUUAUUAAAAUAACUUGAUCUCAAAUCAGAUAAGAGUACCCGCUGAACUUAAGCAUAUCAAUAAGCGGAGGAAAAGAAACUAACAAGGAUUCCCUUAGUAACGACGAGUGAAGCGGGAAGAGCUCAAAUUUGAAAUCUUCAAGGUUUUACCUUGACGAAUUGUAGUUUAAAGAAGUGUUUUCUGCUGAAGUUUUGGUAAAAGUUCUUUGGAAUAGGACAUCAUAGAGGUGAGAAUCCCGUAUUUGACCAUUAUUUUCAGCUUUGUGAUACACUUUCAAAGAGUCGGAUUGUUUGGAAUGCAGUCCAAAAUGGGUGGUAAAUUUCAUCUAAAGCUAAAUAUUGGCGAGAGACCGAUAGCGAACAAGUACCGUGAGGGAAAGAUGAAAAGAGCUUUGAAAAGAGAGUUAAACAGUACGUGAAAUUGUCAAAAGGGAAGCGUUUGACACCAGUGUUGUUUUCUCGAAAAUCAAUUAAAAAUGGCUCGAUUUUGUAUUGCUGAGACCUUAAAAGCUCACUGUACAUUUUUCGUGUCUUUUUUAAUGCACUUUUCGUUUAACAAGUCAACAUCAGUUUCUUUUGUUGUAAAAGGGUCAUUGGAAGGUGGCUUUCUUUUCGGAGAAAGUGUUUAUAGCCUUUGGCCUCUGCAAUCGAGAGACUGAGGUCUGCAGCGUAGACUCUUCGGGUUAGAUACAUUUGUGCUAAGUUAUAGCUUUUUAUAGACAACUUGUUGACUAUAAUUAGUCUUGUAGCUUACUCGCUUAUGCUAUUUUACCUACGCUUAGGAUG
This 1367-nucleotide unclassified non-coding RNA is filed under the name uncultured Neocallimastigales. RNAcentral's name for it is "partial contains internal transcribed spacer 1, 5.8S ribosomal RNA, internal transcribed spacer 2, and large subunit ribosomal RNA". The stretch from base 597 to 1367 matches the Rfam family "Eukaryotic large subunit ribosomal RNA", at positions 1 to 628 of the family's 3401-position model. The record is from RNAcentral. Lineage: Eukaryota; Fungi; Neocallimastigomycota; Neocallimastigomycetes; Neocallimastigales.